RNAcentral lists this transfer RNA (70 nucleotides) under Loxodonta africana (African savanna elephant). It matches the Rfam family "tRNA". Rfam says of the family: Transfer RNA (tRNA) molecules are approximately 80 nucleotides in length. Their secondary structure includes four short double-helical elements and three loops (D, anti-codon, and T loops). The record is from Rfam by way of RNAcentral. Lineage: Eukaryota; Metazoa; Chordata; Mammalia; Proboscidea; Elephantidae.
GCAACGGUGGUUCAGUGGUAUAACGUUCGCCUUCCAGGCGGAAGCACUGGGUUGAUUCCCGGCCAAUUCA